UACGGAGAGUGCAAACGUUGUUCGGAUUCACUGGGCGUAAAGGGCACGUAGGCGGCUCGGCAAAUCGGUCGUGGAAUCUCGACGCUUACCGUCGAAACGGCGGCCGAAAAUACCGGGCUCGAGGGCGUGAGGGGUCACUGGAACUCCUGGUGAAGCGGUGAAAUGCGUAGAUAUCAGGAGGAACGCCGGAGGCGAAAGCGAGUGACUGGCGCGUUCCUGACGCUGAGGUGCGAAAGCGUGGGGAGCGAACAGG
RNAcentral lists this ribosomal RNA (253 nucleotides) under uncultured bacterium. RNAcentral's name for it is "partial 16S ribosomal RNA". It matches the Rfam family "Bacterial small subunit ribosomal RNA", at positions 524 to 776 of the family's 1533-position model. The record is from RNAcentral.